UGAAUUAUUGCCAGCUGGGGGAAAAGCAUCUCCAUUUCUCUAUUAUCUCUCCCCCUCUCUCGCGCUCCUACCGAAGUGUACUACCAAGUAGCAGCGACCUGAUUAUAUAGCACGGCAGGCCGGUCGUCGUCUCGUCUCGCCGGGAGAGGAUAGGCACAGGACAGGACGGAGAGAGAGAGAGAGAGAGAGAGAGAGAGAGAGAGAGAGAGAGGAAGCAGCUCAUCCCAGCCGGAGAACUGUCCAUCCGCCAUGAGCGACGGCCAGGGCAAUGCUCCUCCUGGAGGCUACUUCAUCGGCCGUCCAGCGAACACCGACGAGCCCAAGGAGAAAGAACCGCCGCAGGCCGUCCCUGAGCCUGCUCCAGCUGCGCUGAAUACUCCUGGCGAUUACUUCGUCGGCCGCCCGUCAAACCACGAGCAGAACACGGCAGCGCCGGCGGCUAAACCGGGCUUCUUGGCCAAAUUCUGUCCAUGCCUCGCCGGCGGUGGAGCCACCAGCUAGACCGACAAGCCCAGCCACCGUGCGCCGUGCGCGUGACCACGGGAGGAUUUGAAGUGGAAUCGGGUCCAUGAGUCUCAAUUCUGUAUUGGAACUGUGCGAGUUCUCUUCAUCUUUGGAAGCUCUGCUCUGUUUUUCUUGCUUUCUCUAGCAUUUGAUUCCUGCGUAUUCAUUCGUGUAAUGCCGACAGACGUAAACUCGACCAAAUUGCCACCCGUCCAUGUGAAAUGAAAAUGAUGUUGAUUUGUUCAAUUGUA
Long non-coding RNA from Triticum aestivum (bread wheat), 755 nucleotides. RefSeq lists it as uncharacterized. Lineage: Eukaryota; Viridiplantae; Streptophyta; Magnoliopsida; Poales; Poaceae. The record is from RefSeq and is a predicted model, not a curated record. The transcript is spliced from 4 exons.